RNAcentral lists this ribosomal RNA (921 nucleotides) under uncultured Ascomycota. RNAcentral's name for it is "eukaryotic LSU rRNA". The stretch from base 277 to 921 matches the Rfam family "Eukaryotic large subunit ribosomal RNA", at positions 1 to 664 of the family's 3401-position model. Lineage: Eukaryota; Fungi; Ascomycota. The record is from RNAcentral.
AUCGAUGAAGAACGCAGCGAAAUGCGAUAAGUAAUGUGAAUUGCAGAAUUCAGUGAAUCAUCGAAUCUUUGAACGCACAUUGCGCCCUCUGGUAUUCCGGGGGGCAUGCCUGUUCGAGCGUCAUUACAACCCUCAAGCUCUGCUUGGUAUUGGGCCCUGCCAGUUCUGGCAGGCCUUAAAAUCAGUGGCGGUGCCAUUCGGCUUCAAGCGUAGUAAUUCUUCUCGCUUUGGAGACCCGGGUGUACACUUGCCAACAACCCCCAAUUUAUCAAUGGUUGACCUCGGAUCAGGUAGGGAUACCCGCUGAACUUAAGCAUAUCAAUAAGCGGAGGAAAAGAAACCAACAGGGAUUGCCUCAGUAACGGCGAGUGAAGCGGCAACAGCUCAAAUUUGAAAUCUGGCCUCACGGUCCGAGUUGUAAUUUGUAGAGGAUGUUUCGAACGUGGUCCGGUCUAAGUUCCUUGGAACAGGACGUCAUAGAGGGUGAGAAUCCCGUAUGCGACUGGGUGCCUAAGUUCAUGUGAAACUCCUUCGACGAGUCGAGUUGUUUGGGAAUGCAGCUCAAAAUGGGUGGUAAAUUUCAUCUAAAGCUAAAUAUUGGCCAGAGACCGAUAGCGCACAAGUAGAGUGAUCGAAAGAUGAAAAGCACUUUGGAAAGAGAGUUAAACAGUACGUGAAAUUGUUGAAAGGGAAGCGCUUGCAACCAGACUUGCACGCAGUUGAUCAUCCGGUAUUCUUACCGGUGCACUCGAUUGUGUUCAGGCCAGCAUCGGUUUUGGUGGUUGGAUAAAGGCCUUGGGAAUGUAGCUCCUCUCGGGGAGUGUUAUAGCCCUCGGUGCAAUGCAGCCUACCGGGACCGAGGACCGCGCUUCGGCUAGGAUGCUGGCGUAAUGGUUGUAAGCGACCCGUCUUGAAACACGG